RNAcentral lists this ribosomal RNA (506 nucleotides) under uncultured bacterium. RNAcentral's name for it is "bacterial SSU rRNA". It matches the Rfam family "Bacterial small subunit ribosomal RNA", at positions 29 to 507 of the family's 1533-position model. The record is from RNAcentral.
AUGAACGCUAGCGACAGGCCUAACACAUGCAAGUCGAGGGGCAUCGGGGUAUAGCAAUACGCUGCCGGCGACCGGCGGAUGGGUGAGUAACGCGUAUGCAACCUGCCUUCAGCAGGGGGAUAGCCCGUUGAAAGACGGAUUAAUACCCCGUAACACAGGGGCUCCGCAUGGAGAUUAUUGUUAAAGGGAUGCUUCCUUCGGGGAGUAUUCCGGCUGAAGAUGGGCAUGCGUUCCAUUAGGUAGUUGGUUGAGGUAACGGCUCACCAAGCCUGCGAUGGAUAGGGGAACUGAGAGGUUGGUCCCCCACACUGGUACUGAGACACGGACCAGACUCCUACGGGAGGCAGCAGUGAGGAAUCUUGGUCAAUGGACGGAAGUCUGAACCAGCCAUGUCGCGUGAAGGAGGACGGCCCUAAGGGUUGUAAACUUCUUUUGCAGGGGAAUAAAGUAUUCCACGAGAUGGGAUAUUGCAAGUACGCUGCGAAUAAGGAUCGGCUAACUCCGUG